This 127-nucleotide ribosomal RNA is filed under the name Moeroris leucantha. RNAcentral describes it as "Phyllanthus leucanthus partial 5.8S ribosomal RNA". It matches the Rfam family "5.8S ribosomal RNA", at positions 33 to 154 of the family's 154-position model. Rfam says of the family: 5.8S ribosomal RNA (5.8S rRNA) is a component of the large subunit of the eukaryotic ribosome. It is transcribed by RNA polymerase I as part of the 45S precursor that also contains 18S and 28S rRNA. The record is from RNAcentral. Lineage: Eukaryota; Viridiplantae; Streptophyta; Magnoliopsida; Malpighiales; Phyllanthaceae.
UCGAUGAAGAACGCAGCGAAAUGCGAUACUUGGUGUGAAUUGCAGAAUCCCGUGAACCAUCGAGUUUUUGAACGCAAGUUGCGCCCAAAGCCUUCGGGUCGAGGGCACGUCUGCCUGGGUGUCACGC